AUGCUCUCCAAAGCGGCUCGAUGUGGACACAUUAUUCCUGUGGUCUCUCACCUACUUCCGGAAGGGGUCUCUCAUUUGCAAUAUGCGGAUGACACAAUCAUCUUGGUAGAGUUGGACAAUGCCUGUAUUGCCAAUCUGAAAUUUAUUCUGUUGUGCUUCGAAGCUGUUUCUGGUCUUAAGAUCAAUUUCGCCAAGAGUGAGGUUAUGGUGACGGGGGUUGACCGGGCGAAGGCCUUGCGGGUGGCCAGACUCCUCAACUGCUCCUUAGGUUCCUUUCCUUUCAAAUAUUUAGGUCUUCCUAUCUCUCCUGGUCUGCUUCACGCGAAAGACUUCGCUCCGGUGGUUGCUAAAGUGGGGAAUAUGGUUCUUCCUUGGAGGGGUAGGUAUAAUACCAAUGCUGGCAAAGUGGCUCUAAUCAAUUCUUGCUUAUCCUCUCUCCCGUUGUUCCUUAUGGGCUUUUACCGUCUCACGGAUGGUGUGCAUGCUGGCUUCGACAAACAUAGGGGUGGCUUUUAUUGGAAUUCUGCAGAUAACAAAAGGAAGUAUAGGUUGGUUAAGUGGCAGCUUAUGUGCAAGCCUAAAAACCUUGGGGGGUUAGGCAUUAUUAAUACUCGGGUGAUGAAUAUUUGUCUGCUCAUUAAGUGGUGGUGGAAAAUU
This 657-nucleotide ribosomal RNA is filed under the name Triticum aestivum (bread wheat). Its description in RNAcentral is "partial small subunit ribosomal RNA". Lineage: Eukaryota; Viridiplantae; Streptophyta; Magnoliopsida; Poales; Poaceae. The record is from RNAcentral.